This 558-nucleotide ribosomal RNA is filed under the name uncultured Mycobacterium sp. Its description in RNAcentral is "bacterial SSU rRNA". It matches the Rfam family "Bacterial small subunit ribosomal RNA", at positions 538 to 1095 of the family's 1533-position model. Lineage: Bacteria; Bacillati; Actinomycetota; Actinomycetes; Mycobacteriales; Mycobacteriaceae. The record is from RNAcentral.
GCGUUGUCCGGAAUUACUGGGCGUAAAGAGCUCGUAGGUGGUUUGUCGCGUUGUUCGUGAAAUCUCACGGCUUAACUGUGAGCGUGCGGGCGAUACGGGCAGACUUGAGUACUGCAGGGGGGACUGGAAUUCCUGGUGUAGCGGUGGAAUGCGCAGAUAUCAGGAGGAACACCGGUGGCGAAGGCGGGUCUCUGGGCAGUAACUGACGCUGAGGAGCGAAAGCGUGGGGAGCGAACAGGAUUAGAUACCCUGGUAGUCCACGCCGUAAACGGUGGGUACUAGGUGUGGGUUUCCUUCCUUGGGGUCCGUGCCGUAGCUAACGCAUUAAGUACCCCGCCUGGGGAGUACGGCCGCAAGGCUAAAACUCAAAGAAAUUGACGGGGGCCCGCACAAGCGGCGGAGCAUGUGGAUUAAUUCGAUGCAACGCGGAGAACCUUACCUGGGUUUGACAUGCACAGGACGCCGGCAGAGAUGUCGGUUCCCUUGUGGCCUGUGUGCAGGUGGUGCAUGGCUGUCGUCAGCUCGUGUCGUGAGAUGUUGGGUUAAGUCCCGCAACGA